CCUGUCGCUCCCUCUACUGCAAGAGAUCCGGCCACCCCGACCCGUCCCUACAAGACCAGCGCCACGGCUCCAUACCUCGCCGCCUCCAAGGAUGACGAGGAGGACGAGAUCCCUUUCCCACGUGCUAGGCCGCCCGUCACCAUCGUAAGUUCACAACAACAACGGAUGUCCAUGUGGAUGAUCUACUCCUAGCAGCGCCCCUGUUCUGUAACAUUUUUUGACCCAUACUGAGAGGUUGCAAAGGUGUCCUUUAUUAUGGUACUCAACUGCAAUUCCAAGAAGCAGCUAUCUAAGGCAGGUGAGGAUGAAUGAAGGAUUUGGCCAGGAACUCAAUCAGAUCAUUGGAUUGAAGCUGAAGGGGACAAUGCAAAGAUAUGAAGGGAUGGCCUUUCGUUCAGAACCUGGUCUUUUGUUUGAAAGGGUCUAGCUUUUACUGUGAACUAAUUAUCAUGAUCUUAUUUUGGAGUGAUGGAUUAUUACAGAUAUUAGUGGUCGAAUUCGGUAGCGUUGGAUGCUGGCAGGUCACGGGGUUAGAGCAAAGGAACCUGACGCGGUGUUCUAAACUCAGGCAGUCAUGGUCGUUGACCAGGUGUUGAAGGGCUUGGUGGCAAUUCUCACGGAGCGGUGGCAUCUUAUGGGAAGGGAGCGGAGAAAGGGGAAUGAGGUGUUGUCGAGUGGGCGGGGUCUUUCCGCAGUCGCCUUAAGUUCCACAUCUACACACCAGUCGCCAUGGCUUGGUAGGGCCAAAUCAAAGGUCCAAGGCUAUAGAUGAGCUCUUUUUUAUUGAUGUUUUUUUUCAGUUUAGAGUUUCAUUCAGUUUUGGUCGCCUAGGAGCUGUUUAAGCUGGGUUGAACAGAAAACCACAAGUUUAUAGAAUCUAAUUUUAGUUUUUUUAAGUAAUCUAGAUGUGCGAAGAGGACAUUUUCUACCAUGUACGGCUGACACAUGUUUUUACAAUGUGGAGUUUU
Molecule: long non-coding RNA, 968 nt
Organism: Triticum dicoccoides
Lineage: Eukaryota; Viridiplantae; Streptophyta; Magnoliopsida; Poales; Poaceae
Exons: 7
Source: RefSeq, a predicted model, not a curated record